CCCCACCCCUUUGCCAGCUCCCCUCCGCUGACCCGCUGCCGUUGCAGGUGCACAGCCUGGCGCUGCGCCCCGCCGGCCCCCACCUCCCCGCCCUCGCCAUGAAGCCCCCCGGCGGCCCCCCCCGGGCCGGCCCCCCCCGGGUCCCCCUACCCGAGACCCCCGGCGACCACCUCAAAAAGGCCGAGGGCCCCGAGGCCCGCACCCACCCCCUGGCCCGCGCCGCCGCCCCCGCAGCCGCCCACCCGCUCGUCGCCCCAGGUAAGGUGCUGCACCGUGGGGGGUGGCGGGGGCGUGGGGCACCCGUUGGGUGCUGGGGGUGGGGGGCACCCAGUGAGAGGCGCAGGAAGGGAGGCUGCGGGGCGUUCACCGUGGAGACUGAUGGUGGGCCCUGUAGGGCCUGCGCGGGACCUGCAGCCCUUCUGGAAGUCAGGGCUGGGUGAGCCAAACGGGGCCGGCUCUGAGCCGAACGGCCUGCGGGGUUGUUCGCUCUGAAGCCUAAUGACGGCCCUGGCGUUUGCUGUGCGGCAGCACCCCUGCCUGCCUUUGGGACCUGCGGGCCGCUAGAAACCCCGGGGCCAGGGCUGGCGGGGCAGUGAGGCUGCGGGCCAGAGGGGCGAGGGGGUUCCUCCCCACAGCUCACCUACUGGGGCGAAGGCCCUUCGCUCCCUGGGCACCCAGCACCCUGCUGGGGUGACCCAGCCUCGGGGUGCUGUGCCGAUGUGCUUCCCAAAACGGGGACCCCACCGGGACAGCCUCACCCCGGCCACCAAGGCGGUGCAGCAGCCGGCACCGUUGUCACUAGGCCCCAGGGUGAACGGGUGCCAGGCCGGGCGCAGCCUCCCGGGGAGGGGGCCCCGGGCCGAGCUGGGGGAGACGUGCCGGGGGCGAGGCGCCGGUGACGAUGCCGCGGGCCCUGUCCCCGCAGCCUACGCCCCGCUGCAGCCGCCCCAGUUCCUGCAGCAGCCGCCGAAGCCGAUGCAGCAGCAGUUCGUCAUCCAGCAGCAGCAGCAGCAGCAGCAGCUGGCGCCCCGCGGGCAGCCCCCCCCGGGGCCAGCCGCCCCCCAGCUCCAGCCGCUGCCCCCUGCCAGCCCCGGCCCGGUCCCCCCGCCCAAAGCAGGGGCCGGCCCGGGGGUCCCCCACGGGGCGGGGGCCGAUGGCGCCGCCCCCAACGGGCACCCCGGCUGCCACGGGGCCCCCCGCAAGUUCCAGCACGCCUCCGCUGUCAUCCUGCAGCUGCAGCCCGCCGGGGCCCUGACGCUGUCCCCGCCGCAGCCCCCGCUCAGCGUCCCCGAGGGCACCCGCCGGGACCCGCCGCCCGCCGAGAGGAGCGCCGAGAGCCCGCCCGCCGCCCCGCCGCAGCCCCCCGCCCUCUCGCCGCCCGCCGCCCCCCCGGGCCCCGAGGCCCCCCCGGGCGAGCGGCCCCCCGCUCACGGUAAGCGCCGGGGGGGGAACUGAGGCACGGGGGGGCGGGGCCGGCACCGGGGCCGCGGGGGGGCUGCGAGGCGAGACCCGAGGGCGCGGGGCUGGGGAUGCCCCGCCCCUCCUCGCAGCCCCGCCCCCUCAUUUACAUAGCCACGCCCAUCGCCCGC
Molecule: long non-coding RNA, 1589 nt
Organism: Anser brachyrhynchus (Pink-footed goose)
Lineage: Eukaryota; Metazoa; Chordata; Aves; Anseriformes; Anatidae
Source: Ensembl